RNAcentral lists this small nuclear RNA (107 nucleotides) under Dasypus novemcinctus (nine-banded armadillo). Lineage: Eukaryota; Metazoa; Chordata; Mammalia; Cingulata; Dasypodidae. The record is from RNAcentral.
AUGUUCCCUUCAGUAGCACAUAUACUAAAAUAGGAAUGAUACUGAGAAGAUUAGCAGGGCCCCUGUAAAAGGAUGACAUGCAAAUUCAUGAAACAUUCCAUUAAAAA